RNAcentral lists this unclassified non-coding RNA (240 nucleotides) under Hevea brasiliensis (rubber tree). The record is from RNAcentral. Lineage: Eukaryota; Viridiplantae; Streptophyta; Magnoliopsida; Malpighiales; Euphorbiaceae.
GGGCAUAGUAACUCGAAGGAUCAAAAGGUUGUUGAACGACAAAGCUGGGAAGACGAGAAGCAUCGCGGCCUUGAGAAUCAGAGUUUUCAACUGCUGCAAUCUGACUCCCAACUACAGGGGAGAUAAAACCAAAACUGUAACUUGAAGAAGUUUGAGGAAGGGAGUUUGCGUGACCUCCAGAAGGUAAUACUGUCUCCUGCUUUAAAUCAUUGUACUCGUGAAUUGUGCUUGAUGGAAGUU